RNAcentral lists this long non-coding RNA (450 nucleotides) under Rattus norvegicus (Norway rat). RNAcentral describes it as "long non-coding RNA NONRATT028033". The record is from RNAcentral. Lineage: Eukaryota; Metazoa; Chordata; Mammalia; Rodentia; Muridae.
UAAUAAUUCACACUGUGAAUGACUCAGAAGAGUUGGUGGCCCAGAAUAAUGGGGUUCAAAGGGAUCCUUAUCAACGGAGUGGUGGUAAGUCACAGUUCCUUGUGGAGGUCCUGAGGAGGACUGCCUAUUUGAAGGGAGGACUAGCAAUGGAUAUAGCGGUGGACACGUAAUAUGAUUUCCUUCCUGUCCUGUAUAUUCUGACAGACCUUCCAGCUGCAGAUUUUAGUGUCCUUAGGAAAAAGCCAACGCUGCAAAGGGAUGCUGACAGUGAAGGUUUUGCCUGCACCCCCCAGCCAUGUCUCCUUCCUGUAAGGCUCCCUUAUCCUGGCAGGGAACGGCGGAGGGUUCUGCAUGCGCCCUCGGCUCUCAGGGAAAUAGUUGGGGUAGGCUGCAGGGCUGCUGAACCAUCCUAGCUCCUAUAGGAAGGGAGCCCUUGGGAGGGGCCUGGGG